UACGUAGGGAGCAAGCGUUGUCCGGAAUCAUUGGGCGUAAAGCGCGCGUAGGUGGCCAUUUAAGUCCGCUGUGAAAGUCAAAGGCUCAACCUUUGAAAGCCGGUGGAUACUGGAUGGCUAGAGUACGGAAGAGGCGAGUGGAAUUCCUGGUGUAGCGGUGGAAUGCGCAGAUAUCAGGAGGAACACCAAUAGCGAAGGCAGCUCGCUGGGACGUUACUGACACUGAGGCGCGAAAGCGUGGGGAGCGAACAGG
This 253-nucleotide ribosomal RNA is filed under the name uncultured bacterium. RNAcentral describes it as "partial 16S ribosomal RNA". It matches the Rfam family "Bacterial small subunit ribosomal RNA", at positions 524 to 776 of the family's 1533-position model. The record is from RNAcentral.